Cyprinus carpio (common carp) is the source of this 186-nucleotide long non-coding RNA. RefSeq lists it as uncharacterized. The transcript has 3 exons. Lineage: Eukaryota; Metazoa; Chordata; Actinopteri; Cypriniformes; Cyprinidae. The record is from RefSeq and is a predicted model, not a curated record.
CAACACACUAGUCAACUAUCAACAACCACAUACCCAUCUACAGAUUCCUGGAGUGUGCAGGACAGCAAUUUAUUCCAAAAUGUUGCAGUUUUUCCUGAUUCUCUCUGCAGUUUAUGCCAUGGGCUUGGCAGCACCUUUACCAGAUCUUUUUCUCCUACUCACCUGCUGUUGGGGGACGGCAGUGGG